CUGCGCCGCGCUGCCUUACCGAUUCUUCCUCCUUCUCCAUCCCCGUGGGCAUCUGCGGCACGGCCCGGUUGAUGGAGACGCAGUCGUUGAGAGACUCACGGAAUAUUUAGGGUUGGAAGGGAGCUCUGGAAACCAUCCCGUGCAGCCAGGGUCACCUGAGGCAGCAAAUACAACUGCUGUUCGUGACAAACACAUGAUUUACAAAAUGAAGAAUAAAGAAUUGUGUCAGCUAGAGAAAGAGAGAGAGAGAAGGAAGAUGAAACAAGCACAGGAAUACACAGGAGGGAAACAGAAGCAGCAAGAACAUUGUGUUCAUCAAACACAGACACAAAUUAGCUUGGGAAAGAGAUCUGGAAAUUAUAUUAACUGCUGCUAUGAAAGCAUCAGGGCACUGCAAACACCCAGCUUCCAGAAGGCCAGGUCCUUGGGAAGAGGCAGGAUCCAUGGGGGAGCCAAUGCAGAGAAGAGCAGGAGCAGCUGGAACUUCAAAGAGAUCUGAACAGGUGCCCCAAACCAUGUGGGACCAUUCCUGUGGAACCUGCACAGACUUUUCCCAUAGGAAAAUCAGGGAAUGUCACAGGCGUGCUGGGAAUUUCUAACCCUGAAAUCCUAAAUAAUCCUGUGAGAUUACAAAAAAGGACUUUGGUGCUUCUGGCUACUCCAGGUAUAGGGAAAAAAUCUUCCAAGACAAAAGAAUGGCUGGGUUUGGUAAUGUUCCUGCAGGUACCUGGGUUGUGUCACUAAUUAAUCAUUCCUGGAAACAAAGGAGAAAUAAAG
Vidua macroura (Pin-tailed whydah) is the source of this 777-nucleotide long non-coding RNA. RefSeq lists it as uncharacterized. NCBI's taxonomy places the organism in Eukaryota, Metazoa, Chordata, Aves, Passeriformes, Viduidae. The transcript has 4 exons. The record is from RefSeq and is a predicted model, not a curated record.